GGCUGUGAGGGGAGGCGCGUUUGAGUGGCGGGGCCGAGGUGGCUGGGACCCGGGUUCCGUGCUGUGGGGCUGCUGCGGGCGUCGGCGGUUGCGGCGAGGCUGACGCUGAGGGCGGCGCGUCUCCCCGGAGCUGCCUCCCGCAGCACCGAGGCCUUGCCGGUCGGGAUCCCGGGGGAGCCGCACGGCGCUUGGCUCAGAUUGAGCACACUGUCACAUUCUAGCCACCAACAAGGCUAUUCAUUUUACCUGCAAAAUGCCUUGACUGCUGCUUUGCCACCGCCCUGAUCUAAGUCUCUGUUUUCUGCUUGGACUAGGACUUACAGUCUUCUGGGAAGGGGUGCGAAGAUGCUUAUAGAGCGUCCAGGGAUGGCAGAAGAGCCUCAGCAGCAAAUGGGUGGCCCUGUGGUAAAACUGGAGAAAGAGCUGCCGUGGGGCAGGACGAGGGAGGACCCCAGCCCAGAGACUUUUCGCCUGCGGUUUCGGCAGUUCCGCUACCAGGAGGCGGCCGGGCCCCAGGAAGCCCUCAGGGAGCUCCAGGAGCUCUGUCGCCAGUGGCUGCGGCCCGAGCUGCACACCAAGGAGCAGAUCCUGGAGCUGCUAGUGCUGGAGCAGUUCCUGACCAUCCUGCCACGGGAGUUCUACGCCUGGAUUUGGGAGCAUGGCCCUGAGAGCGGCAAGGCCCUGGUGGCCAUGGUGGAGGACUUCACACAGAGAGCCCUGGAGGCCAAGGCGGUUCCGUGCCACGUGCAGGGACAGCGGGAGGAGACAGCACUUUGCAGAGACCCCUGGGAACCAAGUGUCCACCUGGGGCCCGUGGAGGUCAAGCCUGAGUGGGGGAUGCCCCACGGGGAAGGCUUCCAAGGCCUUGACCGAGGCGCUGAGGAGCAGCUCAGCCAGGACCCUGGAGAGGGGACGCAGGCCUUCCAGGAGCAGGCUCUGCCAGUCCUUCAGGCUGGUGCUGGCCUCCCUGCAGUGAGCACCAGAGACCAGGAGGUGGCAGCUAGCUUCCUGACGGCUGGAUCCCAGGGGUUGGGCCCAUUUAAAGACAUGGCCCUGGCUUUCCCUGAGGAGGAGUGGAGGCAUGUAACCCCAGCCCAGAUAGACUGCUUUGGGGAGUAUGUGGAACCCCAGGACUGCGGGGUCUCACCUCAAGGCCUGGGGAGCAAGGACAAGGAGGCAAAGACCCAGCUGGCAGACCCCAAGGGGCAGCUCGCUUGUGGGCCGGCAGAGCGGUGUGGGGAGCCCGCUCUCCAGGGCCCGGAGCUGGGAAGACCAUGCGAACAGGAGGCCAGGAGCCCGCUGGGAAACGCGCCUGGGCCGCUCCCGCCCCAGCACAGCAUCACCCCGCUGCCUGAUGACCUCCAGACCCACAGCUCCUUCUGGAAGCCUUUCCAGUGCCCUGAGUGUGGGAAGGGCUUCAGUCGGAGCUCCAACCUGGUCCGACACCAGCGGACGCACGAGGAGGAGAAGUCGUACAGCUGCGGGGAGUGCGGCAAGGGCUUUGCGCUGCGCGAGUACCUGCUGAAGCACCAGCGGACGCACCUGGGCCGGCGGCCGCACGUGUGCGGUGAGUGCUGGAAGACCUUCAGCCAACGCCACCACCUCGCGGUCCACCAGCGCAGCCACACAGGCGAGAAGCCAUUCCAGUGCGCGGACUGCUGGAGGAGCUUCAGCCGCCGGCAGCACCUGCAGGUGCACCGCCGGACACACACCGGUGAGAAGCCGUACACCUGCGAGUGUGGCAAGCGCUUCAGCAGGAACGCCAACCUGGCGGUGCACCGGCGGACCCACACCGGCGAGAAGCCCUAUGGCUGCCAGGUGUGCGGGAAGCGCUUCAGCAAGGGGGAGCGGCUGGUCCGGCACCAGAGGAUCCACACCGGGGAGAAGCCGUACUGCUGUCCGGCCUGUGGCCGCAGCUUUAACCAGCGCUCCAUCCUCAACCGGCACCAGAAGACGCAGCACCGCCAGGAGCCCCCGGGGCAAUGAGGGCGCCUGGCCCGGAUGCCCCUCUUUGGCUCACGGAGAAGUCGGGACCUUCCGGGACCUCGUGGGAGGAAGUACCCACUGUACUCCCUGAAGGGCUGCGGGUGUCAGGAGUGUUGGGUGUGGAGAGCCGCUUUGACCCUUUUUCUUUCCCCUCGUUUCAGACGCUGGGUGAGGGAGAGGCCUGCUUUAGUUGAGAUGCCACAUCUCUCACCCAACUGGUGCUAGCACUUCUUAACCUUCUUUCCAGGAAGUGAUGGCCCAAGUUUCAGUUCAGGUUGAGGUUUUUCUCCGUCCAUGGAUGUUCACGUCCACCUCCUGAGCAAAUCUGAUCUUCAUGGUGAAAUCUUCUCACCUGUCAGCAGCUUGAACCUCAUUUUCCAGAAGGCUGUGUCCCUGCAAGAUCAUUAGCUCAGACUCUGAUUCCCUCUCUCCCCCCAGUUCUCUUUCACUUAACAAAUAUUUAUUGAACACCUACCGUGUGUCUGGCACUGGGAGUCCAGUGACCAGACAGCUGAGACCUCAGUGCCCCAGAGUGUGGGAUCAGGCUCUGGAAGCAGACUUGUUAAUAAAGCAGAGCACCCUGAGUUACAUUCCUGGUGAGUACUGAAUGAGAGGAAGUUCUCCGCUCCAUCUGCCCAGUUCCUGAUCUCUCUCUCCCCAGCUGGGUCGCUUAGGCAUCCACCUUUAUUUUACUGUCUCUGUGGCCCCUUCCUCUCUGUGACCUACUGUCAUUAGUAGUUUCUCCCAUUCCAUUGUUCCUUGAACAAAAACAGCUGUCCACACAUCUGUUAGGAAAUUAAUAUUUUGCUUUUGGUCACUGUCUAAACAGUAUUUUUUAAAAAAAAUCCAGUUCGGAAUGAAGUUCUAAUUAAAUGAGUCCGAAAGAUGAACUGGUAUUAAUACUCUACGUUUGAUGGCACUUUACAGCAUAUAAAAUGCACUUCCCUGUUUUCUCAGUUGACUCAUUCCACAAAUAUUUAUUGAGGCCUGACAGUGUGCCAGGGACUCUUCUGGGUGCUUGAGGUAGGUUAGUAAAUAAAAUGGGGGGAGUCCCUGUCCUUGGGGAGCUUACAUGUUAGUGAAUGUAUUUGAUCUUCAGAAUCACCUGAGGUGGAACCUGUGGAUACUCCCAGAUACCCUCUGGACCUGGGCAUCUGGGCCUGUGCCUCCGUCCUGUCAGCUCUGGCCCUGCAGUGCAUUCACCACCACCUACCUCUUGUUUCUGAAUCAUCUCUGUCCUCGGUGCAUCUUGGUCCUUGUCAUCUGAGAGGUGCUUGGGAUCCUCAGGCCACCUGGAGAUGAUGAGACGGUAGCUGGCUGUUUUUAUAUGAAUGCUAAUUUAGAAAAAACAAAGAUGUUUUUAGGAAUUAAAUACAUUUUUUUAAAAAUAAGAAGAUGCAUUACCUGUAACUGUGUUUAAGCUCUCAUAUUAUUUUGCCAUCGUUAAAGGGUUUCCUUUUACUUGGACUUUCUGGAAACUGCCUAACUAGCCUGGACCAUGCUGCAGUGCCUUCGGACGCCACUGCCGAGUAACCGUGGUGUUUACAUUUGAUUCAGCAGAAGACCUCCUGGCCCUUCAGUUGUCCCCGUGAGGCUGUGAGUACUGUGAGACGUCCACUUUCUGAGAUGCUGGACUGCUAUUUCCCAGCACCGUUGAGUCCAGAUGCAGAGUCAGCUCUCUUCUGCCCCACGCCUCAGACAAGCCAGGCAAGGCGCAUAGCCACCUGGAGUCCAAACCCAAUGAUAGGCUUCCCUCAGCCUCUGGCUUCUAGUCUAUAGGACAUAGGGGCUGACCUGACCCGAGUUUGGUCUUUUCUAAGAGGUGUGUAGGGGGCCUGGGGCCAGCAUGGGGUUGCAGUUGCUCAUCAGUGGCCUUCUGUUUACCUGAAUUAAAUGGUAGAUUCUCUGAGCAUAAACUGGGUUUUCAGCCAGUUGGGCUCUCAGAAGGGAGCUUCUGUAAGAGUCAGAACUUGCUGUCUUCCCGCAUGGGCUCCCUUGUUUGCUUUGAGACCAAAGCUUACUGACAGUUCCUCCAAAGAGUCCCCAAAGGAAAAUUUUCCCAUAGAGUUGUAUUAACCUUAUUUUUGAUAGCUGUUCAAAUGCCAAAUACUGUUUUCUGUAUUUUUCUUAGGAAUUUUUUUAGAAUAGAGAAGUUCAAACAUAUAAAUGAAUCCUCAUGUAUUCAUCAUUUAGCUUUAACCAUUUGUUUCUGCAUAGCCAAUCUUGUUACAUUUCUGCCCCAUCCUCCUCUUCAUCUUCCUCCCCAGCUGAGGUAUUUUGAAGCAAAUCUCAAAUGUUGUUUAUAGAUAUUUCACUGUAUACUGCUAAAUGUUAAGGCUUCUUUAAGAAGAAAAAUAACCACAUUGCUAUUAUCAUACCUAAAAAAUUAAAUAGUUCCUUAAUUUCCAAUUAAUGCACUUAAAAAAGAAACCACAUGAUUGUUAAAAAGCUCUUUUAAGAUCAAAGUAAGAUCCAUAAAUUGUAAUUUGUUGCUUGUCUUCUAAGUCUGAUAUGUCUUUUCCCCCUUGAUAUAUGUUUUUCUUUUUUAUUUGGCUAUGCUGCAUGGCUUGUGCGAUCUUAAUUCCUCAACCAGAGAUUGAACCCAUGCCCCCUACAGUGGAAGCACAGAGCCCUCACCACUGGACCACCAGGGAAGUCCCUUCCCCUUAAAAUUUAUUCGUUAAAACAACUGGAUUAUUUGUCCUGUGGACUUUCUCACAUUCUGAAUUUUAUUGCUUGCACACUCAUGGCAUAGUUAAAUAUAGUUCUCUGCCAUCUGAUUAACUGAAAACUUCAGGUGUAGAGGGCUAGUCGGGUUCAUGUUUCACAUUCUGGCAAGAACAUACUACAGAUGGUGGCUUGUCAGGUUGUUUGUCGUUAUAUAAUGUUAAGAACCUAAAUGUGAAGUCGAGUGGGCCUUAGGAAGCAUCACUAUGAACAAAACUAGUGGAGGUGAUAGAAUUCCAGUUGAUCUAUUUCAAAUCCUAAAAGGUGAUGCUGUGAAAGUGCUGCACUCAAUAUGCCAACAAAUUUAGAAAAAGCAGCAGUGGCCACAGGACUGGAAAAGGUCAGUUUUCAUUCCAAUCCCAAAGAAAGGCAAUGCCAAAGAAUGCUCAAACUACCGCACAGUUGCACUCAUCUCACAUGCUGGUAAAGUAAUACUGAAAAUUCUCCAAGCCAGGCUUCAGCAAUACGUGAACCGUGAACCUCCAGAUGUUCAAGCUGGUUUUAGAAAAGGCAGAGGAACCAGAGAUCAAAUUGCCAACAUCCGCUGGAUCAUCAAAAAAGCUAGAGAGUUUCAGAAAAACAUCUAUUUAUGCUUUAUUGACUAUGCCAAAGCCUUUGACUGUGUGGAUCACCACAAACUGUGGAAAAUUCUGAAAGAGAUGGGAAUACCAGACCACUUGACCCGCCUCUUGAGAAACCUGUGUGCAGGUCAGGAAGCAACAGUUAGAACUGGACAUGGAACAACAGACUGGUUCCAAAUAGGAAAAGGAGUAUGUCAAGGCUGUAUAUUGUCACCCUGCUUAUUUAACUUAUAUGCAGAGUACAUCAUGAGAAACACUGGGCUGGAGGAAGCACAAACUGGAAUCAAGAUUGCCGGGAGAAAUAUCAAUAACCUCAGAUAGGCAGAUGAUACCACUAUAUGGCAGAAAGUGAAGAACUAAAGAGCCUCUUGAUGAAAGAGGAGAGUGAAAAAGUUGGCUUAAAGCUCAACAUUCAGAAAACUAAGAUCAAGGCAUCUGGUUCCAUCACUUCAUGGCAAAUAGAUGGAGAAACAGUGGCUGAAUUUAUUUUUUUUGUCUCCAAAAUCAUUGCAGAUGGUGACUGCAGCCAUGAAAUUAAAAGAUGCUUACUUCUUGGAAGAAAAGUUAUGACCAACCUAGACAGCCUAUUAAAAAACAAAGACAUUACCAACAAAGAUCCGUCUAGUCAAGGCUAUGGUUUUUCCAGUAGUCAUGUAUGGAUGUGAUAGUUGUACUAUAAAGAAAGCUGAUCACUGAAGAAUUGAUGUUUUUGAACUGUGGUGUUGGAGAAGAUUCUUGAGAGUUCCUUGGAGAGCAAAGAGAUCCAACCAGUCAAUCCUAAAGGAAAUCAGUCCUGAAUAUUCAUUGGAAGGACUGAUGUUGAAGCUGAAACUCCAAUACUUUGGCCACCUGAUGUGAAGAGCUGACUCAUUUGCAAAGACCCUGAUGCUGGGAAAUAUUGAAGGUAGGAAGAGAAGGGGACAACGGGAUGAGGUGGUUGGAUGGCAUCACCAACUCAAUGGAUAUGAGUUGGGGUAAACUCUAGGAGUUGGUGAUGGACAGGGAGGCCUGGCAUGGUGUAUUCCAUGGGGUCACAAAGAGUUGGAUAUGACGGAGUGACUGAACUGAACUGAAGAGCCUAAUUGCAUUUAUUUUGCUAAUUGUAUAAAAGAAUCUUCAUUUUUUUUAGCUGGGAUGCCUCACAGCUAUAUCUGUGAACUCAUACAGUUCACAGAAGGGAAAUACUGGAUUCUUCUUUCCCUUAUUUACCUGUCUUCACAAUAAUAAUCUAGUGGCUUUUCUUCUAAACUGAUCACCAUGAAAGUGGUCAGUUAUUAUUUUUUUAAUAAAAAAUGCAUUCUUGAAUUUAAACCAGUCCACCACAGUUGUUGAUGCUCAAAUAAUUUCAGUUCUGACAAGUGGGAGCCUCUUCACAUUGGCUCCUGAUUCUAUAUAACACUGAUCACCUUUGAUGGUUUCUUUGCUGUCACAUGACAGGGUGGUACAAGCUCAUCUUGUUCAUUUCAAGCCCCCCUUGAGAGUAAAGGGAAGUGCUUUUAAUUAUGUCAGGACAGUGGGGUAAACUGGGACUCCAGGGCAAACAGGGACACUUGGUCACUUUAUAUUUAGCCCUCAUUGUGUGUGACAGGGUGUCUGUAGUUCCCUCACGCUGGGCUAAGGCUGUGCGCUUUCAGGGCCUAGCUGUGUGUGCCAUGCUGGCUGUGGUGGUGAGAAAGGCCGCUGUUCCAAAGGGGUAUGACCUUUGUAAGAGAAACCCCUUUUUAUUCCCUGGGCGUUAACAGACCGAAUAGCUUUCUGCCUAAGGUCUGUCCUGGAGAGCUAAUGCAUUAAAAAAAAAUGCUUCUCAAAAUGUAUGCCAGGGUGAAUGUUGUCUGCAGGCUGAUUAAGUGUGCUAGAGAAAAGUAGGAAUACCUUUGUUUCUUAAAAAAUAAGCUGGUUUCUCAUCCCAUCACCUUCACCCUGCAACAUAAGUUGUCUGGAUCCACUUCUGAGACGGGGAAAGGAGCUGUCAAAACAUGUCUCCUUGCUCUUGUAAACUUUGCCUGAGUUUCUCAACCUUGGCACUGUUCUCACUGUGUGCCAGGCACUUCUUUCUCUUGGAGGCUGCCCUGGCUUUCUUGUGGGUCUUAGGCUGUUUAGCAGGAUCUUUGUUCUCAGUCUAUUAGAUGACAGUUGUGACAACUAAAGAUGUUUCCAGGCCUUCCCAAAUGUCCCCUGGAGGCAAAAUUGAUCUUGGCUGAGAACCUCUGCCCUUAGGGUUCAGGGUAAGUGCUGGAGCAAUUUCGAUGGCUUAGCUAUUGGAAGAAAAGACUGGGCUUCUAAGGCCUGGACCUUAAAGACCCCUGGCCUAAUUUCUAGAAAACAAAGGAGCUACUAGAGAUCAUGUGGGUUAAGUGCAGUGUUGCCAGGCAGAGCCAAGAGCUGCUGAAGCUGAGUCUCAGGGUGGGUGCUGGGAUCUGUCACAGGCAGCUUGGCUGGUGGCUUUGGGUUCCUUUCAGGCAGGUACCUGCUGUGAAGCCUCCACACAGCAGUGAGCUGGGCCUGAACUCACCGUCCCCAGUGAAUACAGGUGCAUGUUGGGGGCCAUGCAAGCACGAUGCAGCCAGUGCCAACAUUUUUGCCUCCAUAAUAAGGUCUUUAGGGCCCACAGUAGACAAAAAUAUUUGAAUGGAUGAAAGCCCUGGAUUUCUACCUUUUUCAUGGCUAGAAGUCUCUCGAGUGUGCCUUAGGAGGGAAGAGCACUGAAGCACAGAGCCUCUCAGUGGCUCCCAGCCUGGCAGUCAUCUGUAACUGCUGCAUGCCAUCGCCAGGGACAUCCUGUUCAGUUAGCAGUUCUAUAGAUCAGAGUAGCUCACUUGGGCUUCUUACAAUUUCAUAUCCAUUUCUUGCCUUUUCUUUUUCUUUAUUGGCUCAGUGAAGGGCAUAUUUCUAGAGACUGGUCUUGUGCAACCCAUUCCCAGGGUUGAUACCUUUCAAUAAAAAACUGCAGUAAGCAUUUGUUCUGAAGUAGGGAGGGUAGGCUGUCAUCUUCCUUGUGUUUGUCUCCGGGAACUUAAACUGCUGGGAGUGUGAGGGUGGAAGGGCUGGGUGAUGCUGGUGUUGCACCCUGAGAAGCAGAGGGACUGAGGAGAUGAAAGAGCACAGAGGGGCCAGUAAAAGGGCUGUCUUCACUGCCGCAUGCACUAGUCACAGCUCAUGGUCUCCGUGGCCAGAGGUCAGGAAACACGGCAGAUGCAAGAGUUGGCUUCAUAUUUCCCCUUCCUACUUAAAAACUGUGUUUAUUGAGAAGGUGGUGUAUGAGCUUUUAGACAAAGCCUGGGAAAAGGGAUGGUAGAAGUCUGUAUUUGCCUUCUGGAGUCCCACCCCUGGGAGCUAUUUGAGUCUUACACCAUUUCCAUGUCUGUGAAAAAUUUGAGAAAACCCCAUCUCUAUCAUCUGGAUGUUUCAUGGACUUCUGUAGAAGGGCUCAGCAGAUUCUCUGAACAGGAAGAAGCAGAAUGGACGAUGAACAGUUUAUUGUUGAGAACCAGUCUUCCGUCUAGGUAUUCCUAGCCUUCAGUUUUAGGAAUUCCUGCCACCUGAACUAAGGUGCUGUGAGAAGAAUGGAAAAACCAAGAGUUAAAACAGUGUGGUGGUAGCACAGAUAUACCAAUGGAGUGGAAUACAGAUUCAGAAACAGACCCAUCUCUCUAUGGAAACCUAGCAUAUAAUAAAGAUGGUGUUGCAUGGAAAAAUUAACAAAUUUGAAUUCACAAAAAAGAUGAAAGUGACUCUGGAACAUAUGAAAAGAAGUUCACCUUCACUCAUGAAAUAAAUACCAAGUAAAGCUACACUGAGAUAUUAUUUCUUGUCCUAUAGAUUCAAAAGCUGACUACAUGUGAUUGAUGAGUUUGUGGGAAAAAAGGAAUUCUUACACACCGCUGACAGAAUGCAAAAUGAUACAACUUUAUGUGAGGGGAAUUUAGCACUGCUAUAUCUAACAAAGUUACAUGAGAAUUUAUUCUGAAGACACAAGAAGAUACAUAUGCACAAGAUAAUUCAUUGCAGUGUUCUUUGUAGCUCCCUGGUCAAUCCCACGUGGUACUGGUCACAUCUCUAUGUUGAAGUGCUUUAUAUUUCAGGAAAUUCCUGGAGCAGUGGGGCAGGUAACUCGAUCAUGUGGUAUUUGACUCUAGAAGUUCACUUUCUCAUAGAAUAAUGGCAUCUGAUUAAAAAAAUUCAAUGUAGGGGAUCUAGAGGUGACCAGGUCCACUGUCUGAACAUCCCUUGCCUUCCAUGGUACCACAGGGGAUACUGCUCCUCUGCGUGGCACUCAGCUCUCAAUUAGAUCAGCUCACUCAGCUUGCUAUUUUCAGCUUGGGUAGUGGAAGGGUGGACACGUUCCUGCCACACUCAGUGCUCAAGGUGAAAGCUAUCCUUAGGAUAUUCAGGAUAGAGAUUUUUAUCCUUCAUGCUCUUAAACUAGUUAAACAAGGAGGCAGUUAGAGGUAAUUCUAAUGCCUUGGCAGCCUAUAUGAGCAAACCCAAACCUAAGCCUGUGAACGCCUCAAGGUUAAAAAAAUCAAAAAGGAUGGCCAAUCACAAACAGCCAACUUGACUUCCUGCAUAAAGCAGCCUUAAACUACAGCCUCUCAGUUUACUCACUUCUCUUCCUUGUCUUCACUGUAGACGUCUUGCUCCUGCCUCCUGUGUCUGGAAUGAUUUUGGCUCAAAUAAACUGACAUUUUACUAUG
This is an RNA transcript of Dama dama (fallow deer), 9988 nucleotides long. It is a transcript of the gene named zinc finger and SCAN domain containing 25, with no coding region annotated. Lineage: Eukaryota; Metazoa; Chordata; Mammalia; Artiodactyla; Cervidae. The transcript is spliced from 8 exons. The record is from RefSeq and is a predicted model, not a curated record.